CGCCGCCACUGAUAUAUACCAUAGCUAAACACUAUAGGAUGGUAACUCCGUUUAAUACAUAAACCCACCUGACUCUGGUACUUUAUACUGACACUGCACACAGAGCACUGAGAUGCCAUGAGGAGGCACUGUUUAACAACACGGAAUGAGCCUAUACUUCUGGGAAGACAGAUGCUUAGCAGCCUAUAUCUGAUGGUCCCAUCGCCACUACUGACGAGGAGAGGAUAGAGCGGGUUCAAAGAAAAAGGAUAAAGGUCGAAAAGAGUAGAAGACAGAAGUGAAAGGAGGGAAAUAAAAGGAUAGGAGAAGGGGGCAGAGCUGGAAGUCAGGAAAUAGGGGCGCUCCCUGGCCUUUCGUUUUGAGAGGGCGGUAACGCUGGCUUCCCGGUCCGGUGACGUCAUGGACACUCAUUAGACUGACAAGCCACCUGUGGGGCCGCUCGUGCUUUAAAGCGACAGCUGUGCGAAUGAGCUUGAACCAUUCCAACUGCACAUUGACAUUGACGAGCCUCAGGGCCAGGCUGUCAACUAAGCAGUGGUGAACAAGAUGCUGAACAAAAUAGACAACCGAAUUUACGAGCACCAAAGCGCGAGGUCGGUUUGUGUCCAGCAGUAGGGGAAACGUACUUCAACAAGAGACGCCCUGCAAGAGACGCCUAUAGGCGGUGGCGGCAGAACUGAUGCAUGUUGCACUGAUGCAUCUCAUCAAAUAAGCUUUUUCCUCGUCAAUCACCCGAGACAAGACAACGCCGUCCUUCAGGAAAAUCGACUGCUGCCACGUCUCUUCUGAAAUGACACGACAUGGUGGUGACAACAGACACUUGCAACAGACACAUGCAGCGGCCGGUUGGAGUCCCAGAAGUUGAGCCGGACGCUAAUUGUAUCAACAGGUCUCGGACUGUGAUGUGGAACUGAGGCGGGAGUGAAGCUGAGAAUUACAACAGGUGGUGGCAGGGUGGUGGAAUUCGAUCUGGAAAAUUCAAAUCACUGACAACAUUGGGACAUGUUAGAAGGUAAUAUUUAUAAAGGAAGCCAAUCCAGGCAAUAUAUUCCAAUGAAGAAGUGGCAAAAAUAUGAUCUGACAGGGUCAGACCAGUGUUCAGUUCUUUCUGAGAAUCUAAAGUAGGAUGUUUUUUGUCCUCGUUAAAGUCUAUUUGAAUGUUGUGUUUGUGACAGACUUGGUAAAUAUAAGUCCAAAUAAGGCCUCAAAGACAUACAUUUUUUCUGGAGUUUCAUGGACAUUGUAUAUAGGAUUUGUUUGAGGUUGAUUGUGUCUGAUUCCAAAACUAUCAGCUAAUGGUGUUGGGAAGUUGUUUUCAUUCUGGUGCAGAACUAGUUUUGGAAUCUUGUAAAACCACCCCGGCCGCACUCCUCCUAUGUUACACAAUGGAGCCAGACCUCCCACAUACCACUGCUUUCUGGAACAGGUCUGGCUCUGAUCUGGCUCAGGUCUGGCUCUAAUCUGGCUCUGAUCUGGCUCAGGUCUGGCUCUGAUCUGGCUCUGAUCUGGCUCAGGUCUGGCUCUGAUCUGGCUGUGAUCUGGUUGUGAUGUGUGCUAAGCUGAAGCUCACUCCCUGGCGGUGCAGCUGAAAGGCAGCACCUGCCACACGCCUGGGUGAGAGAGCGCACAGGUAAUUAAGUGGAGCUCGACAUGCCCCCCACCCCCACCCCUUAAGGCAAUUAACAGAAAUCAUAUGCUCUCAGAAGCUCCAAUUAGCUACAUUUUGCCUGGUCAGUUGGUCGGACAGAAAGACUGCCCUCUUCUUGUAGUGAAAAUAAUCACUAGUGGGACAGUGGUAAUAAUCACAUCAUGCACAGACACAAAAAGUUAUACUGCGCAUCAUACUGCAUGGCUACUAAUCAUAUCACACAACAAAUGGCCAUGUCCAUAAACCUCUCUGAAUCAUCGGUCAUCUAUGGGCUCACUCACAAAAGAUUCACUGGUGAUGACUGUUAGAUCAUUCUGUAGAUCAUUUCCACUGUGUUUUAUUUGAACUAUCCAAAAGAAGUGGCCAUGUAAGUGGUAUCAUUUGCUUACUAAAAAUCAGUGACGGAAAGCAAAAUUGACAAAUAAACCAGAGCUGCGUGAAUCAAAAACACAAAAAAUUUAAUUAAUUAAUAAAUCAAUUCCGCAAAACUACAAAAUGUCAACAAUCUGAAUUGUUUGACCAGAUCCUCUCUUUUAGGAAAUCCAGGCAUCAGAAUUCGACAGUCAGUGCCGUUCCACUGCUGUAGAGUGCUAAUUGGAGAAGGGACAUUUUAAUAUUUGGCCACACUACUGACAGUCAGCCAUGUAUGGUGCAGCUUUCAGUUGCCUCCAACAUGAAAUUUAGCCAAGAAGGAUGGAAGAUAAACUGAUUAGAUCCUUUCAGAGUUUGAGGAUAGGGUAGGCUAUUUGAGACCACAAAGAUCUAUUUGCAGACCCUUUCAAAUUGAUCCUUUCAUUUAAACCAAAUUUUCAGUUUGACAAUAGACUGUACAAACACAUAGGCUGUGAGGUUGCCGAUAUAAACGGGCUGCAAGUGGAAAAUUGUACGCACAGAAAUUUUCCUAAAAUCCUUAUUCAGGAACAAGGGCAGUGUAUCUCACUGACACAUACAAGUAGUCAGUUCUGCUUCUGAUUAAACUCUUAUAAAACAUUUUAAAUGGCCAGUCUAGUUAAAUACUAACCAUGUUAUUUUACCAGAAUCUGAUCCAAUAGCCAAAACAUAUUCUUUAAAACAUUCCAGUGCCCUGUGGUAAUAUACCAUCAGACUAAAACAAGUGAUAUAAUGUACUUUUAUGAAAUUCUUUUUACGAAUUUCCUGUGCAAAUGAGGGGAAAUGUCGAUAGUGCCAGAUGUCAUACAAAUGGUAAUUUGCAAAAGCAUUUAUGAAUGAAAAAGAUGGUAUCAUUACACCCUGUGACAUUCUGGGAAUGUCAUGGGUA
This is a long non-coding RNA of Clupea harengus (Atlantic herring), 2927 nucleotides long. RefSeq lists it as uncharacterized. The record is from RefSeq and is a predicted model, not a curated record. Lineage: Eukaryota; Metazoa; Chordata; Actinopteri; Clupeiformes; Clupeidae.